Triticum dicoccoides is the source of this 586-nucleotide long non-coding RNA. RefSeq lists it as uncharacterized. Lineage: Eukaryota; Viridiplantae; Streptophyta; Magnoliopsida; Poales; Poaceae. The record is from RefSeq and is a predicted model, not a curated record. The transcript has 2 exons.
GCAGUCCGUCCGCCUCCGGCCUCCGCGUCGGCCGCCGGCGACGUGAUAGCUUAUCCCGAGCUCUGAUCAGCAGUCACUUCUGACCUCCUCAUCGGAACCUCCUUCCCCUUCCAACCACGCGGCACGCCCACGGCUCGCCGUCCCAGUCCGCCAACACCGGCAGCCCGCACGCCGGCGCCCGAUGCUCCUCUGGCUUCUCCGCGCUUGGAACCGCGUCGACCGCACAUGGCUCGUCCAUGCCGGCAGUGCACGCCGAGACGCCGCUCCCUCGUCGGCUCGUCGGUCACUCGCCCUGGACCCUUGGUUUUGGUUAGCAAUGGGGAAACAGCAGAGUCGAUGCAGUCAUUGGUGGAAAUUGGUAAAUCUCCAUCAGCUCCUGAUGGUCUAGCAUUGGUGGUCGUUAUGUGUAGUAUUUUCUGGAGUACCAAAAUUUACUUACAAUGCCCAGGUAUGUGUGAACCUGUCAGAUCUGCUUUAUUUGGAUGUGUCCAUCUAGAUGAUGCAGAGGCAGGGGCCUUCCCCCCCUUUUCUAUUUUUUUGUGUGUUCUAAUAUAGUGAUAUGGUCAAUUGUGUGAACUGAUGACAA